AUGAGGGAGGGGCAAGAAAUUAAACAGGCUGAGCCCAUGAGGGAAUUUCUACAGUUUUGCAGUUCUCUUGGAAAGGUACGUCGAUUGUCAAAGCAGUUUUCACAAGAGGAGAGGGAAAAGCUUUCUCAGUAUCGUGAGUCAGUCAGACAACACUAUGCUGGACUUCAGUGUGGUGUUCGAGAAGGUCUACCAACUGUUCUUGCUUGGCCCUUAGCAGUUGGGCAGCGUGUUAUAGCCUGUCAUCUCAAAACAAGAGAACUUCAUGAUGGGAGUGUUUUGACUGUCGACCGCAAUCGCCGUCGGGUUCAAUUUGAUUGGCCGGAGCUGGGUAUUGAGUUUGUGAUGGCAACGUGCAAAAAUUGCACCGAGAAGCAGUAUCACCCUGCGGAAGUGGCGCACAUCCUCGACUCGGCGCUGUCGCGGCUGCAACCGUGCAGCUCGCAGAACGUCCCCAUCUUCAGAGAGAUUGAGAUGUGCAUGGGUAUCGUCAAGAACCAGAUGCUGGCGCUGAUAUAUACCCACCCCUAG
Molecule: ribosomal RNA, 528 nt
Filed under: Triticum aestivum (bread wheat)
Lineage: Eukaryota; Viridiplantae; Streptophyta; Magnoliopsida; Poales; Poaceae
Description: partial small subunit ribosomal RNA
Source: RNAcentral